GCCAGUCGCCCCACAGCCGGCCUCGUCUCCGCACCACCGCGGCGCCUCCUCGCCCCGUGCUGCUCACCUCUCUGACGCAGCAACGUAGGGAGGUGUUCACACCUGGGCAUCACCUAGUUGUCCUGCCUUCAGCGACGUAGCGGGCACAAUGAAGGUGACCCGACCUCACCGACGAGACGCCUGCAUGGAGACUUGCUUGGAAAGACCCCCGGAGUUGGCACUAUAAGAUAUUGCCCUGAGCUGGUGUCUGAUGUCACAGCAAGUGUAGCUACGACUUCACACAACGUAAUAUUAACACAACUUAUAUUGA
Eriocheir sinensis (Chinese mitten crab) is the source of this 310-nucleotide long non-coding RNA. RefSeq lists it as uncharacterized. The record is from RefSeq and is a predicted model, not a curated record. The transcript is spliced from 3 exons. NCBI's taxonomy places the organism in Eukaryota, Metazoa, Arthropoda, Malacostraca, Decapoda, Varunidae.